GUAUUAAAGGUACUGCCUGCCCAGUGAAUUUUUUAACGGCCGCGGUAUUCUAACCGUGCAAAGGUAGCGUAAUCACUUGUCUCUUAAAUAGAGACUUGUAUGAAUGGCUAAAUGAGGACAGACCUGUCUCCUAUGGCCAAUCAGUGAAACUGAUCUCUCAGUCCAAAAGCUGAAAUAACCACAUAAGACGAGAAGACCCUGUGGAGCUUUAAACCAACUGCUAAUAAAUUAUACUAGUAGAAGGCUUUAAGUUGGGGCGACUUCGGAACAAAACAAAACUUCCGAGCACAGAACCACACUAUUCUUAUUAAGGCCAACAAGCCAAGACACACAAACGACCCAGUCAAACUGAUCUUCGAACCAAGUUACCCCAGGGAUAACAGCGCAAUCUUCUUCAAGAGUUCAUAUCGACAAGAAGGCUUACGACCUCGAUGUUGGAUCAGGACACCCAAAUGGUGUAGCCGCUAUUAAAGGUUCGUUUGUUCAACGAUUAACAGUCCUACGUGAUCUGAGUUCAGACCGGAGAAAUCCAGGUCGG
Molecule: ribosomal RNA, 538 nt
Filed under: Lygosoma koratense
Lineage: Eukaryota; Metazoa; Chordata; Lepidosauria; Squamata; Scincidae
Description: partial 16S ribosomal RNA
Rfam family: Bacterial large subunit ribosomal RNA
Source: RNAcentral